UCUGAAGAAAAAUGUGUCUUGCAAGCGAGCGCCUUUCAUGGUCCCCACGAUCAAGGAAUGGAAUGUAUCUCGAGAAGGCUGCACUCCGUCAAGCAUCAUAUCAUCGUACACAUCCCUCAAUAGAAAAUACUUGCGUUGAGCAGUGAGAGAGCCAACAACAGUAUUGUAUUCUGAGACAUUAUUAGCGUAAUUACGCUUGGCAUACUCUUCGGUGGACACAGCGAAGUAACGGCGACCCAACCCUCGAAGCAGUGGUCGCCGGUGACCAAAAAUUGAUUGAAUUAGGAGUUUCAUUGUUUGAGGGUGGAGUAAACAGUAGACAGUAGGGUUUAGUGCAGAGUUUCUCUGAAAUCAGAAAACCCUUUCAGCCUCUACAAAUUAUUUUUGCAAAUU
Molecule: unclassified non-coding RNA, 393 nt
Filed under: Hevea brasiliensis (rubber tree)
Lineage: Eukaryota; Viridiplantae; Streptophyta; Magnoliopsida; Malpighiales; Euphorbiaceae
Source: RNAcentral